CAGGACGAACGCUGGCGGCGUGCCUAACACAUGCAAGUCGAGCGGGGACAUGCGACGGAUAGGAAGUUUCGGAUGGAAUUGAAGAUGUAUGUUCUAGCGGCGGACGGGUGAGUAACGCGUGAGCAACCUGUCCUUCACAGGGGGAUAACACAGCGAAAGUUGUACUAAUACCGCAUAAGACCACGGCAGGACAUCCUGCAGGGGGUCAAAGGAGCAAUCCGGUGAAGGGUGGGCUCGCGUCCGAUUAGAUAGUUGGUGAGGUAACGGCCCACCAAGUCAACGAUCGGUAGCCGACCUGAGAGGGUGAUCGGCCACAUUGGGACUGAGACACGGCCCAAACUCCUACGGGAGGCAGCAGUGGGGAAUAUUGGGCAAUGGGGGGAAAACCCCCUGACCCAGCAACGCCGCGUGAGGGAAGAAGGUUUUCGGAUCGUAAACCUCUGUCCUUGGUGAAGAGUAAGAGACGGUAGCCAAGGAGGAAGCCCCGGCUAACUACGUGCCAGCAGCGGC
This 510-nucleotide ribosomal RNA is filed under the name uncultured bacterium. RNAcentral's name for it is "bacterial SSU rRNA". It matches the Rfam family "Bacterial small subunit ribosomal RNA", at positions 25 to 518 of the family's 1533-position model. The record is from RNAcentral.